AUUAAAGACUCGGCAAUUUAGAACUUGACAUACAGGUACAUGUCCUGUACACACUCGUGUAUUAAUUUAUACCAUAUGUUAACCUCUUCAUGUUUUAUUUUGUUUGGUGCGCGGCUGUUUCAUUACAAUACUCCUUUAAAUCCCUCUAUUCACGUUUUAAUCACUUUUUAGAAUUUCACAUUAACUCAUAAAAUUAAACUUUUAUUCGGGUCAAUGAUAACAAUUGAAUAAUAUUUGGAGGCUCCUAAACAAUUUUAUAGCUGACUAUGCGGUAUGGGCUUUGCUCAUUGUUGAAGACCGUACGGUGACCUAUAGUUGUUAAUUUCUGUGUCAUGUUUGUC
RNAcentral lists this long non-coding RNA (341 nucleotides) under Mytilus galloprovincialis (Mediterranean mussel). Lineage: Eukaryota; Metazoa; Mollusca; Bivalvia; Mytilida; Mytilidae. The record is from RNAcentral.